CCUACGGGUGGCAGCAGUGAGGAAUAUUGGUCAAUGGGCGCGAGCCUGAACCAGCCAAGUAGCGUGAAGGAAGACUGCCCUACGGGUUGUAAACCUCUUUUAUAAAGGAAUAAAGUGAGGCACGUGUGGCUCAUUGUGUGUACUCUAGUAAUAAGGAUCGGCUAACUCCGUGCCAGCAGCCGCGGUAAUACGGAGGAUCCGAGCGUUAACCGGAUUUAUUGGGGUUAAAGGGAGCGUAGAUGGGGGGGUAAGUCAGGUGUUAAAGUGUGCGGCCGAAACGUAAAAUUGCAGUUGAAACUGGCUGUCUUGAGUGCGCGUGAAGUAUGCGGAAUGCGUGGUGUAGCGGUGAAAUGCAUAGAUAUCACGCAGAACUCCGAUUGCGAAGGCAGCAUAC
Molecule: ribosomal RNA, 394 nt
Filed under: uncultured bacterium
Lineage: Bacteria
Description: partial 16S ribosomal RNA
Rfam family: Bacterial small subunit ribosomal RNA
Source: RNAcentral